AGGCAUUCUGAAGACCUGAAGUCUAGGCAACGUACGGGAGACGUAGUUCUUCAAUCACAUGACGCCUAGGGGAAAGUCCCCGGAUCUCGGGUAGAAAGUGCCGUGCGCUACUAUGGCGUGCAAUAAUCCCGCCCUGCUGUCCAUAUCAACCCGCCAAGAAGCUCCCAGAGCCGAGCGGCUUGGAUUAGGGCGGGAUCUCUCAUCAGUCACCAUAGUAACUCAGGUAGCGCGGCAACGUCCACGCUAACUAAACGGGGCUCAUUCUCAGAAUGCU
Non-coding RNA from Xenopus laevis (African clawed frog), 274 nucleotides. The record is from Rfam. NCBI's taxonomy places the organism in Eukaryota, Metazoa, Chordata, Amphibia, Anura, Pipidae.